This 507-nucleotide ribosomal RNA is filed under the name uncultured bacterium. Its description in RNAcentral is "partial 16S ribosomal RNA". It matches the Rfam family "Bacterial small subunit ribosomal RNA", at positions 28 to 507 of the family's 1533-position model. The record is from RNAcentral.
GACGAACUCUGGCGGCGUGCCUAAUACAUGCAAGUCGAACGCAUUUUCUUUCCCCUUAUCUUGCUCCCCCGAGAGAAAAUGGGUAGCAAACGGGUGGUUACCACGUCGGUACCCUGCGCAUCCUCGAGGGAUAACACUUGAAAACCGGUGCUAAUACCGCAUAAUUCGAUUUACCGCAUGGUAGUUCGAUGAAUGGCGCUUUUGCCUCGCUUGUUCAUCUUGUCGCGGUGCAUGAGCUAGUUGGUGGGGUAACCGGCUACCAAGGCUGCGAUGCAUAGCCGACCUGAGAGGAUGAGCAGCCACACUGAGACUGAGACACGGCCCAGACUCAUAGGGGAGGAAGCAGUAGGGAAACGGGGGCAAGGGAUGCAAGUCAGACCGAGAAAGGCCGAGGGAGUGAAGAAGGUUUUCGGAUCGUAAAACUCGGUUGUUAGAGAAGAACAAGGAUGAGAGUGGAAAGUACAGCGCGUGACGGUAACUAACCAGAAAGCCACGGCUAACUACGUG